AUUCCUAGGAAAAUAAUUCUGCCUGGGGAUGUUUAGAAGCCAGGAUGUCAAGGAUGGUGCUGAGGAUUGAGUGGUGUUAGGAAUAUAAAUCAGCUUUUUGGCUCUGACCUUUUCUUCUGAAGACACAUGCUUCCUGUGCAAAACACUGCGGGCCCAGCCUAGGUGCUGAGGUUGUUGGCCUUGCUGCUACAUAAGCUUCGGGGAGCUGUUUGCCUUUGCAUUAAGGAUGUCACAGAGGUUGUUUGCUGCUAUCCAGAGGAAACAUGCAGCUGAGCUCUGCAGUAAAUGGAAGUUGACUGUCCAGGUACUCUGCUGAGCACAUAACUGGCUGUACAUUCGGACUACCAUGGUGUCACAACUGCUUGACAAUGGUGAAAUCUCAUAAUGUUAAGGUAUAGUCUUAGCCAUGUGAUGAUUAACAAAUCAAUGGAUACUUUGGAACAGAGUCAUCUUUUCAUUUGUGGAUUAACUUCUACAAGCCAGAAAUGGCAGCAGGCACCCCUAAGUGAAGAAUUCAGUUGUGCCUGCAGUUUCCAGAGGAGUACACGGCUAAGGGAGAGUAAGACCUGCUAG
RNAcentral lists this long non-coding RNA (573 nucleotides) under Phasianus colchicus (ring-necked pheasant). RNAcentral describes it as "lncRNA (ENSPCLG00000001903.1)". Lineage: Eukaryota; Metazoa; Chordata; Aves; Galliformes; Phasianidae. The record is from RNAcentral.